GAUGAACGCUGGCGGCGUGCCUAAUACAUGCAGGUCGAGCGAACGGACGAGAAGCUUGCUUCUCUGAUGUUAGCGGCGGACGGGUGAGUAACACGUGGAUAACCUACCUAUAAGACUGGGAUAACUUCGGGAAACCGGAGCUAAUACCGGAUAAUAUUUUGAACCGCAUGGUUCAAAAGUGAAAGACGGUCUUGCUGUCACUUAUAGAUGGAUCCGCGCUGCAUUAGCUAGUUGGUAAGGUAACGGCUUACCAAGGCAACGAUGCAUAGCCGACCUGAGAGGGUGAUCGGCCACACUGGAACUGAGACACGGUCCAGACUCCUACGGGAGGCAGCAGUAGGGAAUCUUCCGCAAUGGGCGAAAGCCUGACGGAGCAACGCCGCGUGAGUGAUGAAGGUCUUCGGAUCGUAAAACUCUGUUAUUAGGGAAGAACAUAUGUGUAAGUAACUGUGCACAUCUUGACGGUACUUAAUCAGAAAGCCACGGCUAACUACGUG
Molecule: ribosomal RNA, 497 nt
Filed under: uncultured bacterium
Lineage: Bacteria
Description: partial 16S ribosomal RNA
Rfam family: Bacterial small subunit ribosomal RNA
Source: RNAcentral